Molecule: ribosomal RNA, 253 nt
Filed under: uncultured bacterium
Lineage: Bacteria
Description: partial 16S ribosomal RNA
Rfam family: Bacterial small subunit ribosomal RNA
Source: RNAcentral
UACGUAGGGUGCGAGCGUUAAUCGGAAUUACUGGGCGUAAAGCGUGCGCAGGCGGUUUUGUAAGCCAGAUGUGAAAUCCCCGGGCUUAACCUGGGAACUGCAUCUGUGACUGCAUCGCUGGAGUGCGGCAGAGGGGGAUGGAAUUCCGCGUGUAGCAGUGAAAUGCGUAGAUAUGCGGAGGAACACCGAUGGCGAAGGCAAUCCCCUGGGCCUGCACUGACGCUCAUGCACGAAAGCGUGGGGAGCAAACAGG